GACCGGCUCCCGGACGAGGUGGUGCCGUACCCGGACUGCGACAAGACGGCGCC
This 53-nucleotide non-coding RNA is filed under the name Candidatus Blastococcus massiliensis. The record is from RNAcentral. Lineage: Bacteria; Bacillati; Actinomycetota; Actinomycetes; Geodermatophilales; Geodermatophilaceae.